UAGCAAAACAGAUAUGGGGGAUUGCGGGCCGUACCCGUGCGGGUGAGGAUUCGGGAUCCAUCUCCCCACGCCCGGCCCGGCGGCGCCCACCAAACGCCGCCCUUCUAAACCAGGUCUGCCCCGCCGCGCCUACCUUGCGCCGGGCAGAAACUACCCCCCCGGACACGUCCUCUGGCAAACCAGACAAGUCAAACCAUAAUAGCGUCGCCACCAGUGCCCCCACUGUCGGCCUUCAACAUAACACUGUGGUCAGGAAAACGAGGGGUGGGUGGGCGGGAAACACAAAACUAGCGUGCCGUGCACUAACGAGCCUCUCACUGCCUACUGACACGAUUCUACACCAAACAGGACUUAACAAAUAGCCUACCGAGGCUACAUGCUUACUACCUUCAGCCCUUGCCUAGCGAUGGGGUUCGACACGCCUUGACCCCAGGCCUUCGUCCGCACUUGUCCCCUUCCCCCGCCUCUCACAACCGUGGGCGUCCCUCCUUCCUUAGUCCCGCUUCAAAACUUAUUUUACGCUACGUGCGGGCAAAGCCUUUCUCCGCCUAAAACAGCCCUUUGAGCUGAUGGGCUGCGGAGAGUCGGAGCCCAUGUAACACACCCACACAAUUACACCGCAUCGUCUUGCACUCGGUACUGUCUCUCUCAGCAAUGUUACCGCCUUCGGCGUCCGUUCGCAAACCUACUCAUGCUAUGUCCAGGGAGUAGCAAAACAGAUAUGGGGGAUUGCGGGCCGUACCCGUGCGGGUGAGGAUUCGGGAUCCAUCUCCCCACGCCCGGCCCGGCGGCGCCCACCAAACGCCGCCCUUCUAAACCAGGUCUGCCCCGCCGCGCCUACCUUGCGCCGGGCAGAAACUACCCCCCACACCGGUUCCCCACUCUGCUCACAUUCUCGCCACUAGCCGCCGCUGCUCCACGGUUGACUUGCGGAUGUACACGCGCACGGCGUCCGAUUUCCACCGG
RNAcentral lists this long non-coding RNA (966 nucleotides) under Chlamydomonas reinhardtii. RNAcentral describes it as "long non-coding RNA (CREI_LNC000323)". Lineage: Eukaryota; Viridiplantae; Chlorophyta; Chlorophyceae; Chlamydomonadales; Chlamydomonadaceae. The record is from RNAcentral.